UCCGGCUUAUCACCGGCGGUUUCUUUAGAGUGCCCAACUAAAUGAUGGCAACUAAAGACGAGGGUUGCGCUCGUUGCGGGACUUAACCCAACACCUCACGGCACGAGCUGACGACAGCCAUGCAGCAUCUGUGCAUGCUCUCUUGCGAGUCCCUCAGGUUUCCCCUCAGUACCACAUGCAUGUCAAGCCGAGGUAAGGUUCUGCGCGUUGCAUCGAAUUAAACCACACGCUCCGCUGCUUGUGCGGGCCCCCGUCAAUUCCUUUGAGUUUCAGCCUUGCGAUUGUACUUCCCAGGUGGAAUACUUAAUGCGUUAGCUUGGACGCGUACUGUGUAUCGCACACAUCGAGUAAUCAUAGUUUACAGCGUGGACUAC
RNAcentral lists this unclassified non-coding RNA (374 nucleotides) under uncultured bacterium. RNAcentral describes it as "contains 16S-23S intergenic spacer region". The record is from RNAcentral.